GUACUCACUUCAAGCACCUAUAUUAAAACUGGAACUAUGCAGAGAAAAUUAGCAUGGCCCCUUGUACAGGAAUGACAUGCUAAUUCAUGAAGCCUUCCUUAUUUUU
This is a small nuclear RNA of Sarcophilus harrisii (Tasmanian devil), 106 nucleotides long. The record is from Ensembl. NCBI's taxonomy places the organism in Eukaryota, Metazoa, Chordata, Mammalia, Dasyuromorphia, Dasyuridae.